RNAcentral lists this ribosomal RNA (253 nucleotides) under uncultured bacterium. Its description in RNAcentral is "partial 16S ribosomal RNA". It matches the Rfam family "Bacterial small subunit ribosomal RNA", at positions 524 to 776 of the family's 1533-position model. The record is from RNAcentral.
UACGUAGGGUCCGAGCGUUGUCCGGAAUUAUUGGGCGUAAAGAGCUCGUAGGCGGUUUGUCGCGUCUGCUGUGAAAUCCCGAGGCUCAACCUCGGGCCUGCAGUGGGUACGGGCAGACUGGAGUGCGGUAGGGGAGAAUGGAAUUCCUGGUGUAGCGGUGGAAUGCGCAGAUAUCAGGAGGAACACCAAUGGCGAAGGCAGCUCUCUGGGACGGUACUGACGCUGAGACGCGAAAGCGUGGGGAGCGAACAGG